This 482-nucleotide ribosomal RNA is filed under the name uncultured bacterium. RNAcentral's name for it is "partial 16S ribosomal RNA". It matches the Rfam family "Bacterial small subunit ribosomal RNA", at positions 28 to 507 of the family's 1533-position model. The record is from RNAcentral.
GACGAACGCUGGCGGCGUGCCUAACACAUGCAAGUCGAACGGAACUGUUUUGAAAGAUUUCUUCGGAAUGAAUUUGAUUUAGUUUAGUGGCGGACGGGUGAGUAACGCGUGAGUAACCUGCCUUCAAGAGGGGAAUAACAUUCUGAAAAGAAUGCUAAUACCGCAUGACAUAUCGGAACCACAUGGUUUUGAUAUCAAAGAUUUUAUCGCUUGAAGAUGGACUCGCGUCCGAUUCGUUAGUUGGUGUUGUAACGGCUCACCAAGACCGCGAUCGGUAGCCGGACUGGGAGGUUGAACGGCCACGUUGGGACUGAGACACGGCCCAGACUCCUACGGGAGGCAGCAGUGGGGGAUAUUGCGCAAUGGGGGCAACCCUGACGCAGCAACGCCGCGUGAAGGAUGAAGGUUUUCGGAUUGUAAACUUCUUUUAUUAAGGACGAAAAAUGACGGUACUUAAUGAAUAAGCGCCGGCUAACUACGUG